RNAcentral lists this long non-coding RNA (258 nucleotides) under Homo sapiens (human). RNAcentral's name for it is "HSALNT0132152". Lineage: Eukaryota; Metazoa; Chordata; Mammalia; Primates; Hominidae. The record is from RNAcentral.
GAUAUCAAGACUGAUUUACAUGAUGGACAAAUUGUGAAAAUGGGUUCCCGUUCCUGGAGGCAGGCGCGGGGCUGGGCUGUAGGUCAGGAGGUGGAGGAGGAGCCGUCGCAGGCGAGAAGGGCAGGGAAGUUGUGUCCUGGACAUAGGGCGGGUCUCAUCGCUUCUUCCUCUGGCCCCUUCUGUCCGUGUCCUGAAUUCUUUUUCUGGCCGUGGACAGAGCGAUGAGGUCGGGGCGGCUGUGACCGUCAGGGGAGAGGA